UGUAGUACGUGAGGACGUGCGGCGACCAGGAAGUCGGAGUACUGGGACCAGAGGGGAAGAAUAAAGGCGACGUUAAAAGGCUGGGAAACGAAGCGAGCGAAAACGCUGUCCCGGACAUAAACUACAAAUCCCAGAGUGCCUCGCGCUGGGGGCUGUCCGAGGACUGCUCCAGGCAUUUUAGGGCUCUUCUGUUGGCUCGGCCUGAGCUGCUGCUCCGCCUCCGUCCAGCCCGAGAGCGGUUUCUUCAACUGCGGCUCAGGCAGCGCUCUGGCUCCGCAUGGUGUCCGAGCCGGCAGGUCUCUCCGCCCCUGUGUUAGUCCGAACGGCUGGCCCGCGGACACCAACCGCCGCCCCGCGCCGAGGGCCGGAGUCGCGCAGGCAGGCCUCGGGCGGGGAGGAGCGGGAGGUGCUUUCUGCUGGGCCCUUCGGGCUUCCCUAGGGCCGGCCGCGUCCUUCGGGCGCGUUUCUCCGCAAGGAGGUGUCCUAGCUUCGGUAGCCGGCUUUAAAGGUUUCCAUGAUCUCAUUGGUAAGGGUAAGAAGAGUAGUCCGCCAUUAAAAUGACUCAUUGAGUCGGCGUAAGGUUCAGUGGUAAUGCCCUCCACCCCUUAUUGACUUAUUAGAGUGGAAAAAACCUGUGGGCAGAGACGUGCCAGACUUCGGGUUGUGCCGAUGGGUGGGCGGGGAAGGAAGUCUAUGGGCACGGGAAGCCACGUGCGGGCUGGCUCUCGCCCUGCCGUUCGUUUCCCCCCAGCUCACAGGACUCUUCCCACCGCCUCCCCGCAGCCAUCUCUAGGAGAACGUGGUGGAGGUCAUGCCCCUCUUGUAGCUUAACGAAGGGUGGGGACGGGGAUGGGUUUUCUCCUUUUGAAUCUGUUUCUCUGGAGAACCCUGACUGAUACAUAUCCCAAAUGUCCUUAAGCUUCGGAGUGGAUAAACAAACGGGUACAUAAUCCAGACAAUGGAAUAACACUUAGCAAUGAAAAGGAAUGAAACAGGCAUGCAACGCAGGAAUGAAUCUCAAAUGCAUUAUGCUACAUGAAAGGAGCCAGGUUCAGAUGGCUAUAUACUGCAUGACUCCAUUUAUAUAAAAUUCUGAAAGAGGCAAAACUGUAGGGAUGGAAAAUAGAUCAAUAGUUGCCAGAGGCUGAGGACUGAAGGAAGAGAUGACUAUGGUGUGGGGAUAUUUUGUGUGCUGAGAACUUUUAUAGCUUGAUUUUGUGAGUUACAUGGCUGUAAAUUAUACCUUCAUAAAAAUACUCUAAAAAAUAAAUAGGAGCCCCGCGGUGUGGCUCAGGGGUUGAGCACUGACCUAUGCACCAGGGGGUUGCCUGUUUGAGUCCUCGGUCAGGGCACAUAUGGUCGUGUGAGGGAGCCCAGUUUCACUUGCUUGAGGAUGAAAGAGACAGCGAGGCCAAGCCAUCCAGAUGUCCCAGCUGACCUUCCAACUGAAGACUGCAGCAUGGACGAGCCCCGAUGAGAAGACUGAGGCUCAUGAGAUUGAAAUAUGCCAAAGGUCACUGCUAAUAAGGGCCCCAGGCUGGCUCCAGAGCCCUUGCUAUACUUCAUAUUAACAUUAUUAAUCUAGAACAAUAGAUGAACAUACUCUAUAAUAAACAACUUGUUGUA
Myotis lucifugus (little brown bat) is the source of this 1626-nucleotide long non-coding RNA. RefSeq lists it as uncharacterized. The record is from RefSeq and is a predicted model, not a curated record. NCBI's taxonomy places the organism in Eukaryota, Metazoa, Chordata, Mammalia, Chiroptera, Vespertilionidae. The transcript has 2 exons.